GAAAUGCGAUAAGUAAUGUGAAUUGCAGAAUUCAGUGAAUCAUCGAAUCUUUGAACGCACAUUGCGCCCGCCAGUAUUCUGGCGGGCAUGCCUGUUCGAGCGUCAUUUCAACCAUCAAGCCCCCGGCUUGUGUUGGGGACCUGCGGCUGCCCGCAGGCCCUGAAAAACAGUGGCGGGCUCGCUGUCACACCGAGCGUAGUAGCAUACAUUCUCGCUCAGGGCGUGCUGCGGGUUCCGGCCGAUAAACGACCUUCAUAACCCAAGGUUGACCUCGGAUCAGGUAGGAAGACCCGCUGAACUUAAGC
This 305-nucleotide unclassified non-coding RNA is filed under the name plant metagenome. RNAcentral's name for it is "partial contains 5.8S ribosomal RNA, internal transcribed spacer 2, and large subunit ribosomal RNA". The stretch from base 1 to 105 matches the Rfam family "5.8S ribosomal RNA", at positions 50 to 154 of the family's 154-position model. The record is from RNAcentral.